UAGGAUUUUCAUGUAACACCUCAAUAGUCCCGCUUCAGAUGAAAAAAAAAAUUCUUAUUGGGAUUAUAAGGCCAUGCACUCUAGUAAUAAUAAUUAGGUUUAAGCAUUUUGGGUCAGUGAUUUGGACCCAACGAGCAACGAUUUAAGUGCUGUGGCACGGGAUUGUGCCGAAAACUUGCCGGCACGGUAUGGCAUGGUGCUUGCCGGGCCGUACCGAUGUGUCGGUCACAAAAAAUGUGUCGACGCGUAAUGGUAUAAAAUAUUUAUUAUUUUUUGCAACAAAAUAUGCCAAUUAUUUAUUAUGUAUUUCUAUCAAUUUUUUUAAAUUUUAUUAAGAAAAUUACUUACUAAUUUAAAAAAUAGAGGGUUUUGAGUUGUGCUAUCGACACGGAGGUUGUAUCGUGUCGAUAUCUUACUGACACGAUAUAGCACGGUGGAUACAGCCCGUGCCGAUUAGCACUUUAAUCCUUGCCAAUGAGUUAUUAUUGCUAACGGGUCGGACGGGUCUGGUUGGGUCGUUACUUUUGGUAUCAGAGCUGGUUAUUAUUGAGGCAAGAUCUUUUUCAUAUUUUUGGAAUUAUUAUUUGUGUUAAUUCAUUUUAAUGUUGUUUUUAGGUUUUUCGAUUUUUCAAGAUGGAAUAAAUUCCUAAAAAUUGGGGAUAUGAAUAUGGAAGUUUUAAAUUACAACUAGAUUUAUUUUUAUUAGAAAAAUUACUAAAAUUAAGGGAUUUGAUUAGGAUUAGAAUUUGGAUUUUUAAUAUAAAUAGGGUUAAAGGUUGUGUAGGGAGCAAGGAUUG
Molecule: long non-coding RNA, 797 nt
Filed under: Ananas comosus (pineapple)
Lineage: Eukaryota; Viridiplantae; Streptophyta; Magnoliopsida; Poales; Bromeliaceae
Description: long non-coding RNA (ACOM_LNC030516)
Source: RNAcentral